GACGAACGCUGGCGGCGUGCCUAAUACAUGCAAGCAGGACGCAGUUGCGAACGGGUGAGUAACGCGUAGGUAACUGCCUAUUAGAGGGGGAUAACUAUUGGAAACGAUAGCUAAUACCGCAUACCAUCAGAUGGACCUGCGUUGUAUAGGAUAGUAGGUAGGGUAACGGCCUACCUAGGCAACGAUACAUAGCCGACCUGAGAAGGUGAUCGGCGACACUGGUACUGAGACGCGGCCCAGACUCCUACGGGAGAGGGCAGUAAGGAAUCUAAGGCAAUGAGGGAGACCGUGACGAAGCAACGCGGAGUGAGUGAAGAAGGUUUUCGGAUCGUAAAGCUCUGUUGUUAAGGAGGCGGUGCUUAACCAGAAAGGGGCGGCUAACUACGUGCCAGCCGCCGCGGUAAUUC
Molecule: ribosomal RNA, 407 nt
Filed under: uncultured bacterium
Lineage: Bacteria
Description: partial 16S ribosomal RNA
Rfam family: Bacterial small subunit ribosomal RNA
Source: RNAcentral